CCAUUCUUGAAUUUGGGUUGCAAGUCAACAUGUUUUGCUUGUUGUCUUUGUCAUUGUAUUGACAUUAUUUUGUCGUUGUUAUGUGACCCGAUAGGUGUGUUAACAGAGCACUUAAACUAUGAAGGAUUGUAUCAUAAUACAUGUGUCAUGUUAGUACUUGUCAAUGCUUUGAUUAUUAAAUAGUCACUGAG
This is a long non-coding RNA of Haliotis rubra (blacklip abalone), 191 nucleotides long. RefSeq lists it as uncharacterized. Lineage: Eukaryota; Metazoa; Mollusca; Gastropoda; Lepetellida; Haliotidae. The transcript is spliced from 2 exons. The record is from RefSeq and is a predicted model, not a curated record.